CACGUAGGGCGCAAGCGUUGUCCGGAAUUAUUGGGCGUAAAGAGCUCGUAGGCGGUCUGUUACGUCUGCUGUGAAAACCCAGGGCUUAACCCUGGGCUUGCAGUGGAUACGGGCAGACUAGAGGCAGGUAGGGGAGAAUGGAAUUCCCGGUGUAGCGGUGAAAUGCGCAGAUAUUGGAAAGACCACCGAUGGCGAAGGCACUCUACUGGGCCAUUACUGACACUGAGAGACGAAAGCUAGGGGAGCAAAUGGG
RNAcentral lists this ribosomal RNA (253 nucleotides) under uncultured bacterium. Its description in RNAcentral is "partial 16S ribosomal RNA". It matches the Rfam family "Bacterial small subunit ribosomal RNA", at positions 524 to 776 of the family's 1533-position model. The record is from RNAcentral.